Molecule: transfer RNA, 73 nt
Filed under: Candidatus Servula neotermitis
Lineage: Bacteria; Bacillati; Actinomycetota; Actinomycetes; Bifidobacteriales; Bifidobacteriaceae
Description: tRNA-Arg
Rfam family: tRNA
About the family: Transfer RNA (tRNA) molecules are approximately 80 nucleotides in length. Their secondary structure includes four short double-helical elements and three loops (D, anti-codon, and T loops).
Source: RNAcentral
GCCCUCGUAGCUCAGGGGAUAGAGCGUUGGAUUCCGGUUCCAAAGGUCGCAAGUUCAAUUCUUGUCGAGGGCG